This 164-nucleotide ribosomal RNA is filed under the name Vasconcellea cundinamarcensis (mountain papaya). RNAcentral's name for it is "5.8S ribosomal RNA". It matches the Rfam family "5.8S ribosomal RNA". Rfam says of the family: 5.8S ribosomal RNA (5.8S rRNA) is a component of the large subunit of the eukaryotic ribosome. Lineage: Eukaryota; Viridiplantae; Streptophyta; Magnoliopsida; Brassicales; Caricaceae. RNAcentral also lists the same sequence under 4 other names. The record is from RNAcentral.
ACAACGACUCUCGGCAACGGAUAUCUCGGCUCUCGCAUCGAUGAAGAACGUAGCGAAAUGCGAUACUUGGUGUGAAUUGCAGAAUCCCGCGAAUCAUCGAGUCUUUGAACGCAAGUUGCGCCCUAGGCCAUCCGGCUGAGGGCACGUCUGCCUGGGUGUCACGC